This 464-nucleotide ribosomal RNA is filed under the name uncultured bacterium. RNAcentral's name for it is "partial 16S ribosomal RNA". It matches the Rfam family "Bacterial small subunit ribosomal RNA", at positions 29 to 507 of the family's 1533-position model. The record is from RNAcentral.
ACGAACGCUGGCGGCGUGCUUAACACAUGCAAGUCGAACGGAAAGGCCCUGCUUGCAGGGUACUCGAGUGGCGAACGGGUGAGUAACACGUGGGUGAUCUGCCCUGCACUUCGGGAUAAGCUUGGGAAACUGGGUCUAAUACCGGAUAGGACCGCACUUUAGUGUGUGUGGUGGAAAGUUUUUUCGGUGUAGGAUGAGCUCGCGGCCUAUCAGCUUGUUGGUGGGGUAAUGGCCUACCAAGGCGGCGACGGGUAGCCGGCCUGAGAGGGUGUACGGCCACAUUGGGACUGAGAUACGGCCCAGACUCCUACGGGAGGCAGCAGUGGGGAAUAUUGCACAAUGGGCGCAAGCCUGAUGCAGCGACGCCGCGUGGGGGAUGAAGGCCUUCGGGUUGUAAACUCCUUUCGCUAGGGACGAAGCUUUUUGUGACGGUACCUAGAGAAGAAGCACCGGCUAACUACGUG